This 566-nucleotide long non-coding RNA is filed under the name Salvia miltiorrhiza (redroot sage). RNAcentral's name for it is "long non-coding RNA (SMIL_LNC013915)". Lineage: Eukaryota; Viridiplantae; Streptophyta; Magnoliopsida; Lamiales; Lamiaceae. The record is from RNAcentral.
CACAUUGUAUAGAGUAUAAAGUUUCUUAAUUAAAUCCAACAUUGUAUAGAGUAUAAAGUUUCUUAAUUAAAUCCAAAAAUAUUGUUUGGUGUAGUGGUUGAAGGGCAUUUUAUUGUUUCAAAGGGUCAAGGGUUUGAAACCCCCUUCCCUUUUUUUUUUGAUUUUUCAUUUUUUUUGGUUCUUUUUUAUUACCGAUUUUUUUGCUUUUCCAUUUUUUUCUUUUUUUGUUCCUUUUUUUUGCGAUUUUUUGCUUUUUUGUUUCUAUUUUUUUGUUUUGCCUUUUUUUCCAGUUUUUUUUUCAACUUUUUUGUCUUUUUCGUUUUUGCUUUUUUUUUCCUUCUUUUUGUCAGCUCCUUUAUUUUCUUCUAUUUCUCUAUUUAAUUUUUUCGUUGUAAUAAUAAUUAUCUUUUAUUACGACAAUAAUUACUUGACCAAAUAGUUAAGAAUAAAAGUUCUAGCGAGUGGAAAUAAUAUUACAUUUCUUCACAUCAAUAAUUAUUUUUGCUUACAAAAAUAAUUACUUGAGAAAAUAACUAAAAGUACAAAUUCUGAUAAAUAAAAGUAAC